UGAACGCUGGCGGCAGGCUUAACACAUGUCAAGUCGAGCGGCAGAGAAGGACUUGCUGCCUAACUUAGCGGCGGACGGGUGAGUAAUGCUUAGGAAUCUGCCUAUUAGUGGGGGACAACAUUUCGAAAGGAAUGCUAAUACCGCAUACGUCCUACGGGAGAAAGCAGGGGAUCUUCGGACCUUGCGCUAAUAGAUGAGCCUAAGUCGGAUUAGCUAGUUGGUGGGGUAAAGGCCUACCAAGGCGACGAUCUGUAGCGGGUCUGAGAGGAUGAUCCGCCACACUGGGACUGAGACACGGCCCAGACUCCUACGGGAGGCAGCAGUGGGGAAUAUUGGACAAUGGGCGGAAGCCUGAUCCAGCCAUGCCGCGUGUGUGAAGAAGGCCUUAUGGUUGUAAAGCACUUUAAGCGAGGAGGAGGCUACUUUAGUUAAUACCUAGAGAUAGUGGACGUUACUCGCACAAUAAGCACCGGCUAACUCUGUGCCAGCUUCCCCGGUAAUACAGAGGGUGCAAGCGUUAAUCGGAUUUACUGGGCGUAAAACGCGCGUAGGCGGGUAAUUAAGCCCAAUGUGAAAUCCCCGAGCUUAACUUGGGAAUUGCAUUCCCUACUGGGUUGCUAUUAGUGUGGGAGAGGAUGGUAGAAUUCCAGGUGUAGCGGUGAAAUGCGUAGAGAUCUGGAGGAAUACCGAUGGCGAAGGCAGCCAUCUGGCCUAACACU
This 719-nucleotide ribosomal RNA is filed under the name bacterium UASWS0135. Its description in RNAcentral is "bacterial SSU rRNA". It matches the Rfam family "Bacterial small subunit ribosomal RNA", at positions 30 to 741 of the family's 1533-position model. The record is from RNAcentral.